Molecule: ribosomal RNA, 240 nt
Filed under: uncultured bacterium
Lineage: Bacteria
Description: partial 16S ribosomal RNA
Rfam family: Bacterial small subunit ribosomal RNA
Source: RNAcentral
AGCGGCGGACGGGUGAGUAACGCGUGGGUAACCUGCCUCAUACAGGGGGAUAACAGUUGGAAACGGCUGCUAAUACCGCAUAAGCGCACAGUACCGCAUGGUACGGUGUGAAAAACUCCGGUGGCAUGAGAUGGACCCGCGUCUGAUUAGGUAGUUGGUGGGGUAACGGCCUACCAAGCCGACGAUCAGUAGCCGACCUGAGAGGGUGACCGGCCACAUUGGGACUGAGACACGGCCCAA